GACGAACGCUGGCGGCGUGCUUAACACAUGCAAGUCGAACGGAAAGGCCCUGCUUUUGUGGGGUGCUCGAGUGGCGAACGGGUGAGUAACACGUGAGUAACCUGCCCUUGACUUUGGGAUAACUUCAGGAAACUGGGGCUAAUACCGGAUAGGAGCUCCUGCUGCAUGGUGGGGGUUGGAAAGUUUCGGCGGUUGGGGAUGGACUCGCGGCUUAUCAGCUUGUUGGUGGGGUAGUGGCUUACCAAGGCUUUGACGGGUAGCCGGCCUGAGAGGGUGACCGGCAACAUGGGAAGUAGAAGACGCCCGAGACUCCUGGGGGGGGAGGCGGGGGGGAUUAUUGCAAAGGGGGAGGGGGCCUGAGGCACCACCCCGGGGUGGGGGAUAGGGGCCUUGGGGUUGAAAACCUCUUGCCCGGGGAACAAGGGGGGGGGGAGGGAAAUGGGUAAAGAACCCCCGGCUAACUACGUG
Molecule: ribosomal RNA, 468 nt
Filed under: uncultured bacterium
Lineage: Bacteria
Description: partial 16S ribosomal RNA
Rfam family: Bacterial small subunit ribosomal RNA
Source: RNAcentral